RNAcentral lists this ribosomal RNA (497 nucleotides) under uncultured bacterium. Its description in RNAcentral is "partial 16S ribosomal RNA". It matches the Rfam family "Bacterial small subunit ribosomal RNA", at positions 28 to 507 of the family's 1533-position model. The record is from RNAcentral.
GAUGAACGCUGGCGGCGUGCCUAAUACAUGCAAGUCGAGCGAACAGACGAGGAGCUUGCUCCUCUGACGUUAGCGGCGGACGGGAGAGUAACACGUGGAUAACCUACCUAUAAGACUGGGAUAACUUCGGGAAACCGGAGCUAAGACCGGAUAAUAUAUUGAACCGCAUGGUGCAAUAGUGAAAGACGGUUUUGCUGUCACUUAUAGAUUGAUCCGCGCCGCAUUAGUUAGUUGGUAAGGUAACGGCUUACCAAGGCAACGACGCGUACCCGACCUGAGAGGGUGAUCGGCCACACUGGAACUGAGACACGGUCCAGACUCCUACGGGAGGCAGCAGUAGGGAAUCUUCCGCAAUGGGCGAAAGCCUGACGGAGCAACGCCGCGUGAGUGAUGAAGGUCUUCGGAUCGUAAAACUCUGUUAUUAGGGAAGAACAAAUGUGUAAGUAACUAUGCACGUCUUGACGGUACCUAAUCAGAGAGCCACGGCUAACUACGUG